GGGUUGUGAGGUUAAGCGACUAAGCGUACACGGUGGAUGCCCUGGCAGUCAGAGGCGAUGAAGGACGUGCUAAUCUGCGAUAAGCGUCGGUGAGGUGAUAUGAACCGUUAUAACCGGCGAUUUCCGAAUGGGGAAACCCAGUGUGUUUCGACACACUAUCAUUAACUGAAUCCAUAGGUUAAUGAGGCGAACCGGGGGAACUGAAACAUCUAAGUACCCCGAGGAAAAGAAAUCAACCGAGAUUCCCCCAGUAGCGGCGAGCGAACGGGGAGGAGCCCAGAGCCUGAAUCAGUGUGUGUGUUAGUGGAAGCGUCUGGAAAGGCGYGCGAUACAGGGUGACAGCCCCGUACACAAAAAUGCACAUAUUGUGAGCUCGAUGAGUAGGGCGGGACACGUGGUAUCCUGUCUGAAUAUGGGGGGACCAUCCUCCAAGGCUAAAUACUCCUGACUGACCGAUAGUGAACCAGUACCGUGAGGGAAAGGCGAAAAGAACCCCGGCGAGGGGAGUGAAAAAGAACCUGAAACCGUGUACGUACAAGCAGUGGGAGCCUCUUAAUGGGGUGACUGCGUACCUUUUGUAUAAUGGGUCAGCGACUUAUAUUCUGUAGCAAGGUUAACCGAAUAGGGGAGCCGAAGGGAAACCGAGUCUUAACUGGGCGUUAAGUUGCAGGGUAUAGACCCGAAACCCGGUGAUCUAGCCAUGGGCAGGUUGAAGGUUGGGUAACACUAACUGGAGGACCGAACCGACUAAUGUUGAAAAAUUAGCGGAUGACUUGUGGCUGGGGGUGAAAGGCCAAUCAAACCGGGAGAUAGCUGGUUCUCCCCGAAAGCUAUUUAGGUAGCGCCUCGUGAAUUCAUCUCCGGGGGUAGAGCACUGUUUCGGCAAGGGGGUCAUCCCGACUUACCAACCCGAUGCAAACUGCGAAUACCGGAGAAUGUUAUCACGGGAGACACACGGCGGGUGCUAACGUCCGUCGUGAAGAGGGAAACAACCCAGACCGCCAGCUAAGGUCCCAAAGUCAUGGUUAAGUGGGAAACGAUGUGGGAAGGCCCAGACAGCCAGGAUGUUGGCUUAGAAGCAGCCAUCAUUUAAAGAAAGCGUAAUAGCUCACUGGUCGAGUCGGCCUGCGCGGAAGAUGUAACGGGGCUAAACCAUGCACCGAAGCUGCGGCAGCGACACUAUGUGUUGUUGGGUAGGGGAGCGUUCUGUAAGCCUGUGAAGGUGGCCUGUGAGGGUUGCUGGAGGUAUCAGAAGUGCGAAUGCUGACAUAAGUAACGAUAAAGCGGGUGAAAAGCCCGCUCGCCGGAAGACCAAGGGUUCCUGUCCAACGUUAAUCGGGGCAGGGUGAGUCGACCCCUAAGGCGAGGCCGAAAGGCGUAGUCGAUGGGAAACAGGUUAAUAUUCCUGUACUUGGUGUUACUGCGAAGGGGGGACGGAGAAGGCUAUGUUGGCCGGGCGACGGUUGUCCCGGUUUAAGCGUGUAGGCUGGUUUUCCAGGCAAAUCCGGAAAACCAAGGCUGAGGCGUGAUGACGAAGCACUACGGUGCUGAAGCGACAAAUGCCCUGCUUCCAGGAAAAGCCUCUAAGCAUCAGGUAACAUCAAAUCGUACCCCAAACCGACACAGGUGGUCAGGUAGAGAAUACCAAGGCGCUUGAGAGAACUCGGGUGAAGGAACUAGGCAAAAUGGUGCCGUAACUUCGGGAGAAGGCACGCUGAUAUGUAGGUGAAGCGACUUGCUCGUGGAGCUGAAAUCAGUCGAAGAUACCAGCUGGCUGCAACUGUUUAUUAAAAACACAGCACUGUGCAAACACGAAAGUGGACGUAUACGGUGUGACGCCUGCCCGGUGCCGGAAGGUUAAUUGAUGGGGUUAGCGGUAACGCGAAGCUCUUGAUCGAAGCCCCGGUAAACGGCGGCCGUAACUAUAACGGUCCUAAGGUAGCGAAAUUCCUUGUCGGGUAAGUUCCGACCUGCACGAAUGGCGUAAUGAUGGCCAGGCUGUCUCCACCCGAGACUCAGUGAAAUUGAACUCGCUGUGAAGAUGCAGUGUACCCGCGGCAAGACGGAAAGACCCCGUGAACCUUUACUAUAGCUUGACACUGAACAUUGAGCCUUGAUGUGUAGGAUAGGUGGGAGGCUUUGAAGUGUGGACGCCAGUCUGCAUGGAGCCGACCUUGAAAUACCACCCUUUAAUGUUUGAUGUUCUAACGUUGGCCCGUAAUCCGGGUUGCGGACAGUGUCUGGUGGGUAGUUUGACUGGGGCGGUCUCCUCCUAAAGAGUAACGGAGGAGCACGAAGGUUGGCUAAUCCUGGUCGGACAUCAGGAGGUUAGUGCAAUGGCAUAAGCCAGCUUGACUGCGAGCGUGACGGCGCGAGCAGGUGCGAAAGCAGGUCAUAGUGAUCCGGUGGUUCUGAAUGGAAGGGCCAUCGCUCAACGGAUAAAAGGUACUCCGGGGAUAACAGGCUGAUACCGCCCAAGAGUUCAUAUCGACGGCGGUGUUUGGCACCUCGAUGUCGGCUCAUCACAUCCUGGGGCUGAAGUAGGUCCCAAGGGUAUGGCUGUUCGCCAUUUAAAGUGGUACGCGAGCUGGGUUUAGAACGUCGUGAGACAGUUCGGUCCCUAUCUGCCGUGGGCGCUGGAGAACUGAGGGGGGCUGCUCCUAGUACGAGAGGACCGGAGUGGACGCAUCACUGGUGUUCGGGUUGUCAUGCCAAUGGCACUGCCCGGUAGCUAAAUGCGGAAGAGAUAAGUGCUGAAAGCAUCUAAGCACGAAACUUGCCCCGAGAUGAGUUCUCCCUGAGACUUAGAGUCUCCUGAAGGAACGUUGAAGACGACGACGUUGAUAGGCCGGGUGUGUAAGCGCAGCGAUGCGUUGAGCUAACCGGUACUAAUGAACCGUGAGGCUUAACCUUACAACGCCGAAG
This 2925-nucleotide ribosomal RNA is filed under the name Escherichia coli. RNAcentral describes it as "bacterial LSU rRNA". It matches the Rfam family "Bacterial large subunit ribosomal RNA". The record is from RNAcentral. Lineage: Bacteria; Pseudomonadati; Pseudomonadota; Gammaproteobacteria; Enterobacterales; Enterobacteriaceae.